UGUCAGUCCUGCCUGGCUACCUCUUGACAAAAGCAGAGAAGGCAGCCCCACUUAUAGGCUAGAGCAAGGUUUUAUAGGACAUAGAACUGGAUCAGGGUGAAGGAAAAAGAAAAGGGGGGGGGUCCUUUGUGCCAUGUGUCUGACCGCUUCCUGGAGAUGUUUUUCUUGCCAGUUCUCUUGUGCAAAGUAGACGUCUUAACCGCAUCCUGGGACAGCUGGCCUCUGGUCAAACAGUUACAGGCAGGUUUGGGGUAGCGGGUUUUACUUUUUGGCCUUUGGGGCUUAGUCUAUGGGAGGGGGAAACAGUCCAGUUGGGUGGACCUUAGCAAUGGUGUAUCUGUAAGUGGCUGGUGGCAGCGACAACAUUCUUACGCUGCAUGUGUAUUGUUCAGUUGUCAUCUGUGUUGGGGAAUCUAGCCACUGGCCCACAGAGAGUUAACCAGAGCUUGGGAGUGUGAGAGGUGGGAAAGAGGGAACCAUCUACUCCAGCUUCCUGUCUAAUUUCUUCAAGGGGAGGGGCCCUGGGGAAACAAUUCCUUGGAAAUGUACAAAGGAGGAUAGAGAAAGAAUCUCUGUAGGAAUUCCUUGGGCAGAGGAAGGCAAGAGGACACCCAGGUCACGUCAGGGCUCAUGAUAGGGAAAUCUGUGCUAUGGGGAGAUGGGACUGGGAGUGAAGGGUGGGUGCGGCAGAUGGCUGGGCCAGCAGGUUUCCUGCCACCUGUUAAAAGGGGGUGGGGGUCGGGUAAAGAAAGUGCCUUGCAGAGUAGGCUGCUGCCUCCCGGUGGUCAGCCGCGGCCUUGCAUGGAUCUUGCCAAGGGAGUUUGCUUGGCGGUGUUGGAAGCGGCCUGAGAUGAAGCUGGGCGGGCUGAUGGCCUGCUUCCCCCGUCACCGGCAGACUCUCCUUCCACGAAAGACUUGCUGAAGCUCCUGAGGCACAUGCUGAACUGUGAUGUGGGACUCUGGAGUUCCCCAACCACGCUAAAGGAAGUGAGCAGAGAGGACAAGAUGAAGAAUGGGCGCCUCCUUAUAACGGCUUCCUGGGAAAAGCUCACCACUUGAUGAGAAGCA
RNAcentral lists this long non-coding RNA (1068 nucleotides) under Homo sapiens (human). Its description in RNAcentral is "HSALNT0257336". Lineage: Eukaryota; Metazoa; Chordata; Mammalia; Primates; Hominidae. The record is from RNAcentral.